GCAGGAAGCUGGUGGAAGGAACUGGCUCCGCAGGCAGGGAGGUCUCGCCCAGGAAAUGCUCUGUUGGCCUCGGCUUCCUGCGCACGCAGCUGGGCCCGGACCCAGGGUUGGAGUCGAGACGUACCCGGGCUGGACGACCCCGGGCGUUGGCGCGCCCGCUGCUGCGGUUCGUGCUGUGCUCGGCUCGGCUGUGGAGGAAGGUUGGAUCGAGGCUGGAGGCCAGAAGUGCAGGAGCCGCCUCGCAGGCGGGAGGAGUCGGUAGCCAUGGUCUCUGAAAACUGGGCCCUGUAAACAAUUUUCAGGCGCCAGGAACAGAAGAACCGGCAGAAACAGCCCUAGAGCUUGAGCCAAAUGGACGGACUGUUGGCGCUGCUGAGGGCGAAGGUGCCCAAACUCCUCAAAGUGGAGCAGCAAAGCAACCACCAGAGAUGGACAAGAAAAAUGAAAAGUCAAAGAAAAUUAGCAGAAAUCAAAGGCAGUUGCUAAAGCAGUGAGAAACCGUUCACGCCACGAUGGAAACCGAGUUGAUGAAGGAGUCUGGGAAACG
This 547-nucleotide long non-coding RNA is filed under the name Homo sapiens (human). Its description in RNAcentral is "non-protein coding lnc-ZNF730-7:1". Lineage: Eukaryota; Metazoa; Chordata; Mammalia; Primates; Hominidae. The record is from RNAcentral.